UACGUAGGUGGCAAGCGUUGUCCGGAUUUACUGGGUGUAAAGGGCGUGCAGCCGGGAAGACAAGUCAGAUGUGAAAUCCCGCGGCUCAACCGCGGAACUGCAUUUGAAACUGUUUUUCUUGAGUACCGGAGAGGUCAUCGGAAUUCCUUGUGUAGCGGUGAAAUGCGUAGAUAUAAGGAAGAACACCAGUGGCGAAGGCGGAUGACUGGACGGCAACUGACGGAGAGGCGCGAAAGCGUGGGGAGCAAACAGG
RNAcentral lists this ribosomal RNA (253 nucleotides) under uncultured bacterium. RNAcentral describes it as "partial 16S ribosomal RNA". It matches the Rfam family "Bacterial small subunit ribosomal RNA", at positions 524 to 776 of the family's 1533-position model. The record is from RNAcentral.